AGAAAGCUGGCUCUGUUAUUUCUUGACGGUUGCUAACUAUGUUGAGAAAUUCAAUGAAUUUUCUGUUAAACAUUUGAGGCCGUAGCAAUGGAGGAUGAAAUUACAUUGUGCACUGAAGAAAACUUGAUUGAGGCACUUGUAAACAAAAAGAAAAUUUACAAGACGAAACAAUUGCUCAAACCCUUGUCUUCAAAUUUACUUGUGAAGCAUUUUGCCGUAUGGAAGAGAGGAAGAAUGGUACUAGGAGAGUAGUCGAAAGAAGUUAAUUAAUGAAUUUAAGAUUGGCAGGGUAAAUACUGGAGGCCAUAGAAAUUGGUCAAGGCACUUGUAACAAAAAGAUAAUCUGCCAGAUGAAACAAGUGCUCACUCCCUGGUUUUCACAUUUGCAAUUCGGUUAUGGGAAAGAGGUAGAAUGACGUUAGGAGAGUAGUCGAAAAACCUUAACCAAUGAGUUGAUUUACUAGUUCAAUGGCAUCCUAUAUAUGCUGAGAAUUUACAAUUUCUGUCACUCAGGAGAAGAAAUGAAGGUCCAAUUUUUAUCAUUCAAUAGUAGAACUUCAUGGAGGCACUUAUUAACAAGAAGAAACUUUUUCCUAAUGAAACAAGUGUUGAAUCUUCUGGUUUUCACAUUUUCUUGGUCAUAGAGUGCAUCAGUAUCAAAUGGUCAUGGAAUCAUGAAAUGUUAAAGGAAUGGAUUUGAGCAAAACAGUACAAGCAUGGUAGAUGGGGAGACCUGUCAAUGAAAGUGGUCAUGAUUUGUAACAAGAUAUAAAGCAACUUAUUCAAUUGUGGGAUUCAAGUUUUCAUGUAUUUAAAUUUCAGUUGUUCA
Long non-coding RNA from Pistacia vera, 829 nucleotides. RefSeq lists it as uncharacterized. The record is from RefSeq and is a predicted model, not a curated record. The transcript has 6 exons. NCBI's taxonomy places the organism in Eukaryota, Viridiplantae, Streptophyta, Magnoliopsida, Sapindales, Anacardiaceae.